UCGCGAUAAUGUGAUUGGGAAUGUUAAACAAGAGUUAGGUAUUUUCCCUUUCACUGAAAACACGAGUUAGGUUGGAGCCUGGAGGAGAAGGAGGAAGAGAUCAACGAAUACCAAUGUCGUCUUCGUCUUCGUCUUCGUCCCGUUUGAUUCAAUUCACUCGGAUUCGUAUCUCCACUUUCCUUCCGAUCAAAUCAAUCUCAAUCAUGAUCGCAAAGGACCGGAGAUUUCUCCAACCCUAACCACUAACUUCAUUGCUUAGGUUCUAGUUUAUCCACCCAGUACUGAAAGUGAUGGGAAAAGAUUGCGAGAUUUCUUCAAGGCAUCAGAUACUGCAAUUUUAGAUAAUCCAGUGCAGCCAUUUGCCACUGAUGAAGAGAUCGACUCUGCAAUUGAGUGAAUGAGAAAUCAAAUUUGAGGAGUGUGCAAGCAGCAAAUUGGUUGGUGAAUUAACAAGCGAAUUAUCAUUGUUCAAAUGUGUCCUCCGAAGUAAAUGUAUGACUAAGGUGUAGCAACCGGAGGUUAGUUCAACACUUUUUAAAUUAUCGCUUGUUUGAUUUAUUUGUUGCUCGAGUAUGAUUGUAAAGUCCUCUACGAGGAUCAUAUUGGUAAAUGUAUUUUCCAUAGCAAAGCUAUUGAUUGGAUAGAGAAUUGUGUUAUUGAGAACCCAAUGGGUUUCUACAUAUAGGCGAUUUUUAUAA
This is a long non-coding RNA of Lotus japonicus, 698 nucleotides long. RefSeq lists it as uncharacterized. The transcript is spliced from 4 exons. NCBI's taxonomy places the organism in Eukaryota, Viridiplantae, Streptophyta, Magnoliopsida, Fabales, Fabaceae. The record is from RefSeq and is a predicted model, not a curated record.